RNAcentral lists this ribosomal RNA (253 nucleotides) under uncultured bacterium. RNAcentral's name for it is "partial 16S ribosomal RNA". It matches the Rfam family "Bacterial small subunit ribosomal RNA", at positions 524 to 776 of the family's 1533-position model. The record is from RNAcentral.
UACAGAGGCCCCGAGCGUUACCCGGAUUCAUUGGGCGUAAAGCGUCCGCAGACGGUUAUCUGCGUCGAAUGUGAAAUCCCUCCGCUCAACGGAGGAACGCCAUUCGAUACGAGAUAGCUUGAGGCAGGGAGAGGUCAGUGGAACUCAUGGUGAAGCAGUGAAAUGCGUUGAUAUCAUGGGGAACACCAAUUGCGAAGGCAGCUGACUGGUCCUGUCCUGACGUUCAGGGACGACAGCGUGGGGAGCGAAUGGG